GACGAACGCUGGCGGCGUGCCUAAUACAUGCAAGUAGAACGCUGAAGGAGGAGCUUGCUUCUCUGGAUGAGUUGCGAACGGGUGAGUAACGCGUAGGUAACCUGCCUGGUAGCGGGGGAUAACUAUUGGAAACGAUAGCUAAUACCGCAUAAGAGUAGAUGUUGCAUGACAUUUGCUUAAAAGGUGCAAUUGCAUCACUACCAGAUGGACCUGCGUUGUAUUAGCUAGUUGGUGGGGUAACGGCUCACCAAGGCGACGAUACAUAGCCGACCUGAGAGGGUGAUCGGCCACACUGGGACUGAGACACGGCCCAGACCCCUACGGGAGGCAGCAGGAGGGAAUCUUCGGCAAUGGACGGAAGUCUGACCGAGCAACGCCGCGGGAGUGAAGAAGGGUUUCGGAUCGUAAAGCUCUGUUGUAAGAGAAGAACGAGGGUGAGAGUGGAAAGUUCACACUGUGACGGUAGCUUACCAGAAAGGGACGGCUAACUACGUG
This 495-nucleotide ribosomal RNA is filed under the name uncultured bacterium. RNAcentral's name for it is "partial 16S ribosomal RNA". It matches the Rfam family "Bacterial small subunit ribosomal RNA", at positions 28 to 507 of the family's 1533-position model. The record is from RNAcentral.